AGCUUGACUGCCGAACGGAGCAGACGUGUGUCACAAGAGCUCCUGCACACGCUACCGAGAAUCCGGGGAUAUCCCCGAUCCAAAUGACUUUAUAAGCACAGCCUAGCGUUAAUCUUGCAGAGGAGGCUUCGGUGAGUCGGGAGACACCUCACUGGAGUGUCCCUGCAACUGACUGCCCAAAUCGAGGCCUACAUAGGAGGGAACUAGGGAGAGGCGGCCACUCUCCCAGCACCCCAGCUGGCUGCUAAGCAAAGGAAUCGUGCAAUCCCCCUUUGGAUCAGCGGGGGUUAUCCCAGUCCCUAUUGGGCUACCCCACGCAGUAGCUGACACAUAGGGGGAAGAACCGCAAUCAACAGCAUACCUCAAGAUGGCGGACGGGCCUACUACAGAGACUCAGGCACCCAAAGCCCCACUGGAUCACACUGGUGACUCCAUGCUAGCACUGGAUGCACUACUAGCCACCUUCUGGGCAUGACUGGAGAAACGAGUGGCAGCCUCUGCUGGUCUGCCUAUAGAGACAGGCCAUCCGAACGCACAUGGGCCCCCUCUGAGUGAAACUACCCGCUAUACACGGGCCCCUCCCAUCAAGUGACCCCCCAGACUGAGGGCUAAACAAGGGAGGAACCCAUCUCAUCGCCCGCAAUGGAGAAAGCCCCUACCACUGCUCCGGUGCUGCAUCCCAGGAGGGGCCACGAUGCUGGAAUGGUGCCAGCAGCCGGCGAGCUCCAACUCUGCGACGCCUGACGCAAAACCUAGACAGAGCCGCAGCUGCCCCCCAUACACAGCCCAGCAGACCGCUGUUCCCCAGGGCCGACCACAUCUCAAAAGCUGGAGGUACACGACGGUGGACCCCCAAAGAGAGACAUGGACCACCUGCACAACCAAGGCUGAAGAUCAACUACCAUAUCUGGGGGCCGACACACAACUGACGGGUCAAAGAUGGCACUACCUGCUCCAGCACACUAGUGGCAUCGGGUGAGGGUUUGCAGUAGCCUUUCUCCCUGCUGCCACCCUGCUCAGCAGAGCAGAACUGAAUGGGUAGUCUCCCUACUAUUAUCUGAUGCCCAGUGGUUCAAACAGUUCAUAUAUGGUUUUAUAUCUAUAGCUAGAUUUGUCUUCAUAUCCCAUGUUAUUUUCUUGUUCCCCUUAACCCAGAUGUAUACUAGCAUAAUUUUAAUCUGAAAGUAUAAUCUUGUCUAAUAAGCAUGUACCACAUCAAAGUAUUCAUGUCACCACACACAUCUGAGCGACUCAUAGUCACCGCUACACUCACACGCCUAAACAUACAGGUCAUACAUGUUACAUUAGUGCACCAACUAUCUCACUAAAGAUGUGUGUAGAAACUUCUUGUAUUUUCCUUUAAUAUAAAAAUGUGCUGACGUAGCAAAAUGAAGCAAAGUAUUAACUCUAGAAGAUCCAUUCCUUACGUAACCGGUUUCAUUGUAAUAUUUGCAUGUUCUUGCACUCGUUAUUGUGACGAUGCAGGAGAAUUUGUUUAGUUGUGCACAAUCAAAAAUCAAAAUAAAGAAUAAAAAAAAAAAAUUCCACUCACGACACAGAACCAUGCCAGGCUUUGUAAGAAAGGCUCAAGGCUGCCACUUAUGGCAACAAGAUCCACUUCAAAAUGACAGGAUGCAGGACUCCAGAUUGUUCCACAGAAAUAUUAUAUUUAUUGAUGCAAACUUAAUAGAAGGCUAUAGAUGGUGGUGGGAAUAUUACACAAAGUCGGAGGGGAAAAAAAGCUCUAAAUACCCACAGUGACCUUGGGCAAGGAUUGCAAUCAAGAAGCAGCAAACCUGUUUCAGAUGUGAGGCCUUUUUCCAGUGCUACUGAGCUUCUUCUUGGUGUACAGCUUUUAUAUCCAUUUAAACAAAACAAAAAAUGACAUGUAUAUACCAUUUCCGGCAUCUUGUAGCCACCCGCAACAUAAUUUCUGGCUCUUCCAAUUGAGGUCCAAUCCUUCAUAAUGAUAUGGAACACACGGUCACUGUAAACCUUCUGCCAGGUUCAGUAUAUAUUGUACCCUAAAGGCUAUCAAACAAACAGUUAAGUACG
This 2055-nucleotide long non-coding RNA is filed under the name Pelobates cultripes (western spadefoot toad). Lineage: Eukaryota; Metazoa; Chordata; Amphibia; Anura; Pelobatidae. The record is from RNAcentral.